GAACAUUGUUAUCUAUGGUUGGAUGUAUCGAUUGCAAAUCGAUUUCUUAGGGUUCAAUUCCCUCGGUGUUCU
RNAcentral lists this transfer RNA (72 nucleotides) under Actinomadura coerulea. RNAcentral's name for it is "tRNA-Cys". It matches the Rfam family "tRNA". Rfam says of the family: Transfer RNA (tRNA) molecules are approximately 80 nucleotides in length. Their secondary structure includes four short double-helical elements and three loops (D, anti-codon, and T loops). The record is from RNAcentral. Lineage: Bacteria; Bacillati; Actinomycetota; Actinomycetes; Streptosporangiales; Thermomonosporaceae. RNAcentral also lists the same sequence under 1 other name.